This 505-nucleotide ribosomal RNA is filed under the name uncultured bacterium. RNAcentral describes it as "partial 16S ribosomal RNA". It matches the Rfam family "Bacterial small subunit ribosomal RNA", at positions 28 to 507 of the family's 1533-position model. The record is from RNAcentral.
GACGAACGCUGGCGGCGUGCCUAAUACAUGCAAGUAGAACGCACAGUUUAUACCGUAGCUUGCUACACCAUAAACUGUGAGUUGCGAACGGGUGAGUAACGCGUAGGUAACCUGCCUGGUAGCGGGGGAUAACUAUUGGAAACGAUAGCUAAUACCGCAUAAUAUUGAUUAUUGCAUGAUAAUUGAUUGAAAGAUGCUAUUGCAUCACUACCAGAUGGACCUGCGUUGUAUUAGCUAGUAGGUGAGGUAACGGCUCACCUAGGCGACGAUACAUAGCCGACCUGAGAGGGUGAUCGGCCACACUGGGACUGAGACACGGCCCAGACUCCUACGGGAGGCAGCAGUAGGGAAUCUUCGGCAAUGGACGAAAGUCUGACCGAGCAACGCCGCGUGAGUGAAGAAGGUUUUCGGAUCGUAAAGCUCUGUUGUAAGAGAAGAACGGGUGUGAGUGUGGAAAGUUCACACUGUGACGGUAUCUUACCAGAAAGGGACGGCUAACUACGUG